AACGAUUUCAAGAGUGCACAGAUCCCUUUGAUGUCAUCUUCACCUGUGCUGGGAGAGUGUAUAAAAUGGUGGUGAAAGACCUGUGUGAUAGAGAACAGAAGCCCUGGCAGCCUGUGCAUGUGAUCAACUUGGAUAUAAAGGACACGCUGAAGGCAGCCAGCCUUGGUGCUUCAAUCACCUGUGAGCUCUACCAGGGUCUCCAGCAGGCUGAUGACAUGCAGAGCAGUCUGGCUGAGCUGCUCCCGGCAGCAAAGCAGAAAACAGGAAGGAGCUUUCUGCACACAGUCUAUUCUACUGAAGAUCUUAGGUGCAUCCCACUCAGGCAAGAAGUGGAGGAUAAAAAGGUUUCAUGGCAAACAGAACACGAACUGUAAGUAGGCAUCAAAGUCCCUUCAAUUUGAGUUUGAAUAGUGUGGAGACUUGCCUUCCAAGGAAUAAUUUAGUGUUCACACGUCUCUGCAAAGAAGUCAACCUCAGUGACUGCAUUUUAAUGAUCAACAAACCAAGGCUCAUAAUAGGUUGCUGGACAAGUGAACUGUCGAAGGAUAUUUCAGAAAAUGAAAAACAGUGUCUGUUUUAUCCAUUUAUAGUGAUAACAAUCCUUUUGCUUUUCUGGCAUGUGUAUAAAUGUAUUGAAUGUUUGAACUUCAAAAUAUUUUUAUUUUUAAGAUCGGAUGUCCUUUUCUAAUGCGAACUUUAAUAGAAACUCAGGGUGCAUAAUGAAUUGUAUUUAUUACUAAAAUUCUGCACGAUUUGU
RNAcentral lists this long non-coding RNA (757 nucleotides) under Bos grunniens (domestic yak). RNAcentral's name for it is "lncRNA (ENSBGRG00000012825.1)". The record is from RNAcentral. Lineage: Eukaryota; Metazoa; Chordata; Mammalia; Artiodactyla; Bovidae.